UAUAUCUCAAAAACUAGAAGAACUAGUCAAAAAUUGUCAACUAACAAAAUAUUCCUCGUGAAAUUUUACACAUUUUGUUAGUUGAAAACUUUUUUCUAG
Caenorhabditis elegans is the source of this 99-nucleotide non-coding RNA. The record is from Ensembl. Lineage: Eukaryota; Metazoa; Nematoda; Chromadorea; Rhabditida; Rhabditidae.